AAGCGUGUAGUUAAACUGGUUAAAGUUUGAAAUUCAUAAUUUUAAAAAACGGGUUCAAACCCCGUCACACUUA
Molecule: transfer RNA, 73 nt
Filed under: Chrysochromulina sp. NIES-1333
Lineage: Eukaryota; Haptophyta; Prymnesiales; Chrysochromulinaceae
Description: tRNA-Ile
Rfam family: tRNA
About the family: Transfer RNA (tRNA) molecules are approximately 80 nucleotides in length. Their secondary structure includes four short double-helical elements and three loops (D, anti-codon, and T loops).
Source: RNAcentral